Molecule: long non-coding RNA, 897 nt
Filed under: Bos mutus (wild yak)
Lineage: Eukaryota; Metazoa; Chordata; Mammalia; Artiodactyla; Bovidae
Description: lncRNA (ENSBMUG00000024625.1)
Source: RNAcentral
GUCAGGGCAGUGGCUGAGUCUGCUUGCCGGGGGUCAGGAAGGCUGUUCUUCCAGGAAGGGCUGCAGAGACCCUGGGAACAGGACUAGGCUGCUCACAAGUAUGAAGAGAAUGUCGGGAGAGGAAGUGGUGGCUGUGAGUCAGCAUGAGUCAUCUCGUUCCAAUGAGAAUGAAGACUGAGGUGUGCGCCUUUUUUUUCUCUCUCUCACUUUUUAAAUUUUUUUUAUUUUUUUGAGUCUCAAUCGUGUGGACAUCACUGGGAAUGGAGGGAAAUAACUGACUGAAUGGUCGUUGCUUUUAAGUUUCAAACCGACAUUCCAGGCGGGUUGUGUCUGAGCCAGCCUCGGGCUUUCAGACCUUCACAGCCUGGUCCUGAGAAGGUAGAGCUCUCAGCUUCUCCCUGGUCACCCCAGACCGUGCUGCCAGUCUCAGCUGGCUUCGGGGCUGCCGGUUCUCUCCUCCCACUGCGGCGUGUCAGGGCAGAGCCAUCCCGUGAGGAGCCUGGGGACAGCUGACCAAACAGAGAGCAUCAGUAGACAGCUGAGCUGCCAUGGUCAUGGUCGUGGUCAUGAGCCCACAGCCCAGGAUCACUUGCCAUUGGUGAGACUCGGGUGUGUGUCACAAUCAUUUGGGCACUUGUGAAAAGAGACAUCCCUGGGUCCCAUUGCCAGAGUUUCCGAUUUAGAAGGUCUAGGGCACACCCUGAAAAUCUGCAUUUAUGAAAAUUCUCAGAUGAUACUGUUGGUCCAAAGGUCCAUAUUGAGGACCAUUAGUUAGGGCCAUGAGCCAAGGGUGAAAACCUAAAGGCCUAAAGAUUGUCUCUGUUGUCCCCUUUAAUGCUGAGAUUCCCUUCAUACGUUUUAGUCCAACUUUAGAAGUAAAACCAGCCUUUCAGAAAG